RNAcentral lists this ribosomal RNA (894 nucleotides) under uncultured soil bacterium. Its description in RNAcentral is "bacterial SSU rRNA". It matches the Rfam family "Bacterial small subunit ribosomal RNA", at positions 8 to 916 of the family's 1533-position model. The record is from RNAcentral.
AGAGUUUGAUCCUGGCUCAGGACGAACGCUGGCGGCGUGCUUAACACAUGCAAGUCGAGCGGUAAGGCCCUUCGGGGUACACGAGCGGCGAACGGGUGAGUAACACGUGAGCAAUCUGCCCAUCACUUCGGGAUAACUCCGGGAAACCGGAGCUAAUACCGGAUAUGACCACUUCAGGCAUCUGAUGGUGGUGGAAAGUUCCGGCGGUGAUGGAUGAGCUCGCGGCCUAUCAGCUUGUUGGUGGGGUAACGGCCCACCAAGGCUUCGACGGGUAGCCGGCCUGAGAGGGUGACCGGCCACACUGGGACUGAGACACGGCCCAGACUCCUACGGGAGGCAGCAGUGGGGAAUAUUGGACAAUGGGCGAAAGCCUGAUCCAGCAACGCCGCGUGAGGGAUGACGGCCUUCGGGUUGUAAACCUCUUUCAGCAGGGACGAAGCGCAAGUGACGGUACCUGCAGAAGAAGCACCGGCCAACUACGUGCCAGCAGCCGCGGUAAUACGUAGGGUGCGAGCGUUGUCCGGAAUUAUUGGGCGUAAAGGGCUCGUAGGCGGUUUGUCGCGUCGGGAGUGAAAACUCAGGGCUUAACCCUGAGCCUGCUUCCGAUACGGGCAGACUAGAGGUAUGCAGGGGAGAACGGAAUUCCUGGUGUAGCGGUGAAAUGCGCAGAUAUCAGGAGGAACACCGGUGGCGAAGGCGGUUCUCUGGGCAUUACCUGACGCUGAGGAGCGAAAGUGUGGGGAGCGAACAGGAUUAGAUACCCUGGUAGUCCACACCGUAAACGUUGGGCGCUAGGUGUGGGACUCAUUCCACGAGUUCCGUGCCGCAGCUAACGCAUUAAGCGCCCCGCCUGGGGAGUACGGCCGCAAGGCUAAAACUUAAAGGAAUUGACGG